Molecule: ribosomal RNA, 438 nt
Filed under: uncultured bacterium
Lineage: Bacteria
Description: partial 16S ribosomal RNA
Rfam family: Bacterial small subunit ribosomal RNA
Source: RNAcentral
CUACGGGGUGCUCCAGUGGGGAAUAUUGCACAAUGGGCGAAAGCCUGAUGCAGCAACGCCGCGUGAGUGAUGAAGGCCUUCGGGUCGUAAAACUCUGUCCUCAAGGAAGAUAAUGACGGUACUUGAGGAGGAAGCCCCGGCUAACUACGUGCCAGCAGCCGCGGUAAUACGUAGGGGGCUAGCGUUAUCCGGAUUUACUGGGCGUAAAGGGUGCGUAGGUGGUUUCUUAAGUCAGGAGUGAAAGGCUACGGCUUAACCGUAGUAAGCUCUUGAAACUGGGGAACUUGAGUGCAGGAGAGGAAAGUGGAAUUCCUAGUGUAGCGGUGAAAUGCGUAGAUAUUAGGAGGAACACCAGUAGCGAAGGCGGCUUUCUGGACUGUAACUGACACUGAGGCACGAAAGCGUGGGGAGCAAACAGGAUUAGAUACCCUCGUAGUC